GACGAACGCUGGCGGCGUGCUUAACACAUGCAAGUCGAACGAUGAAGAAGAGAAACGCGAACUUCGGUUCAAAUUUCACGUCGGGUUAGUGGCAGACGGGUGAGUAACGCGUGAGCAACCUACCUCUUACAAAGGGAUAGCCUCGGGAAACCUUGCUUAAUACCAUAUGACACAUUCAUAAGACAUCUUAAGAAUGUUAAAGCUACGGCGGUAAGAGAUGGGCUCGCGUCCCAUUAGCUAGUUGGUGAGGUAACGGCCCACCAAGGCGACGAUGGGUAAACGGGAUGAGAGGGAGAACGGUCACACUGGAACGGAGAAACGGUCCAAACUAUCGCGGGAGGCAGCCGUGGGGAAUACUGCCCAAUGGAGGGAACGAAGAUGGAGCGACGCCGCGAGAGCGAUGAAGGAAGGCGUUAAGGAAAGAUAUGUUCUAUGGGAAGAAAAGGACUGUACCAUAGGAGAAAGCCCCGGCUAAAUACGUG
This 482-nucleotide ribosomal RNA is filed under the name uncultured bacterium. RNAcentral describes it as "partial 16S ribosomal RNA". It matches the Rfam family "Bacterial small subunit ribosomal RNA", at positions 28 to 507 of the family's 1533-position model. The record is from RNAcentral.